CAUCGCCUCCUGCUUAUAGUAACAUAGGAGGUCCCGCCUGCCCUGUGACCAAAAGUUUAACGGCCGCGGUAUUUUAACCGUGCAAAGGUAGCGCAAUCAAUUGUCUUUUAAAUGGAGACCUGUAUGAAUGGCAUAACGAGGGUUUUACUGUCUCUUUUUUCUGGUCAAUGAAACUGAUCUGCCCGUGCAGAAGCGGGCAUAAUAACACAAGACGAGAAGACCCUAUGGAGCUUUAGACGCCCACCAACCGCGAAGAGCACCCCGACGACGGGCCACCAAAUAACGCGACCGUGGUAUAAACGUCUUCGGUUGGGGCGACCACGGGGGAACACAAAGCCCCCGAGAGGAUUGGGGAUCCAACCCUAAAACCAAGAGCCACAGCUCUAAGUCACAAAACAUUUGACCCAGAAUGAUCCGGCUCAUUGCCGAUCAACGGACCAAGUUACCCUAGGGAUAACAGCGCAAUCCUCUCCCAGAGUCCAUAUCGACGAGAGGGUUUACGACCUCGAUGUUGGAUCAGGACAUCCUAAUGGUGCAGCCGCUAUUAAGGGUUCGUUUGUUCAACGAUUAAAGUCCUACGUGAUCUGA
RNAcentral lists this ribosomal RNA (588 nucleotides) under Sardinella gibbosa. RNAcentral describes it as "partial large subunit ribosomal RNA". It matches the Rfam family "Bacterial large subunit ribosomal RNA", at positions 1814 to 2608 of the family's 2925-position model. The record is from RNAcentral. Lineage: Eukaryota; Metazoa; Chordata; Actinopteri; Clupeiformes; Clupeidae.